Suncus etruscus (white-toothed pygmy shrew) is the source of this 137-nucleotide small nuclear RNA. RefSeq annotates it as U4 spliceosomal RNA. The record is from RefSeq and is a predicted model, not a curated record. Lineage: Eukaryota; Metazoa; Chordata; Mammalia; Eulipotyphla; Soricidae. The transcript has a single exon.
AGCUUUGCACAGUGGCAGUAUCAUACCCAAUGAGGUUUAGUUGAGGCAUGACAUUUGCUAAUUGAAAACUUUUCCCAUGACAAUUUGGAAUAUAGUUGGCAUUGACCAAAAAAGAAAGUUUUGAAGAAAUUUGUUUU